GUAGGGAAUAUUGGACAAUGGGGGGAACCCUGAUCCAGCCAUGCCGCGUGGAGGAAGACUGCCCUCUGGGUUGUAAACUCCUUUUAUAUGGGAAGAACCGUCCUCAUUAAUGAGUGACCUGACGGUACCAUAGGAAUAAGCACCGGCUAACUCCGUGCCAGCAGCCGCGGUAAUACGGAGGGUGCAAGCGUUAUCCGGAUUCACUGGGUUUAAAGGGUGCGUAGGCGGAUAAAUAAGUCAGUGGUGAAAUCAACGGGCUCAAACUGUUAACUGCCAUUGAUACUGUGGAUCUUGAAUAUGAGAGAGGUAGGCGGAAUGUUGCAUGUAGCGGUGAAAUGCUUAGAUAUGCUACGGAACACCGAUUGCGAAGGCAGCUUACUAUUUCGUAAUUGACGCUGAGGCACGAAAGCGUGGGUAGCGAACAGGAUUAGAAACCCCGGUAGUCC
This 446-nucleotide ribosomal RNA is filed under the name uncultured bacterium. RNAcentral describes it as "partial 16S ribosomal RNA". It matches the Rfam family "Bacterial small subunit ribosomal RNA", at positions 354 to 796 of the family's 1533-position model. The record is from RNAcentral.